This 431-nucleotide ribosomal RNA is filed under the name uncultured bacterium. Its description in RNAcentral is "partial 16S ribosomal RNA". It matches the Rfam family "Bacterial small subunit ribosomal RNA", at positions 29 to 507 of the family's 1533-position model. The record is from RNAcentral.
AACGAACGCUGGCGGCAGGCUUAACACAUGCAAGUCGAGCGCCCCGCAAGGGGAUCGGCAGACGGGUGAGUACCGCGUGGGAACGUACCCUUAUCUUCGGGAUAGCUCCGGGAAACUGGAAUUAAUACCGAAUGUGCCCUUUGGGGGAAAGAUUGAUCGGAUAAGGAUCGGCCCGCUUUGGAUUAGCUAGUUGGUGGGGUAAAGGCCUACCAAGGCGACGAUCCAUAGCUGGGCUGAGAUGAUGAUCAGCCACAUUGGGACUGAGACACGGCCCAAACUCCUACGGAGGGCAGCAGUGGGGAAUAUUGGACGCUGAGCGCAAGCCUGAUCCAGCCAUGCCGCGUGAGUGAUGAAGGCCUUAGGGUUGUAAAGCUCUUUCACCGGAGAAGAUAAUGACGGUAUCCGGAGAAGAAGCCCCGGCUAACUUCGUG